AUAUAAUACGUACAAAAUGUUUGGAUUUUCAACAUAUCUAGUGUAACUUGUUUCAGAAGAUACAUCUGCGUCUGCCUCUGGAUAUGAGACCCUGGAUCAUUCAGACGAAUGGAUUACUGAUUGCCUUAAUGAUAAUGAGAUGCAUUUCAGCUCUGAUACUAUGAAUACUUCUGGCACAUCUAAUUUUCAAAUUGAUAUCGCAGAGUUUUGCGAGAUUGCACCCGAGUAUAAAAAUAAUUUGCCACAACAACGUGUUUCUACUCCACAGAAGAUAGUUUUCAAAGGUA
Humulus lupulus (European hop) is the source of this 287-nucleotide long non-coding RNA. RefSeq lists it as uncharacterized. Lineage: Eukaryota; Viridiplantae; Streptophyta; Magnoliopsida; Rosales; Cannabaceae. The transcript is spliced from 3 exons. The record is from RefSeq and is a predicted model, not a curated record.